This 425-nucleotide ribosomal RNA is filed under the name uncultured bacterium. Its description in RNAcentral is "partial 16S ribosomal RNA". It matches the Rfam family "Bacterial small subunit ribosomal RNA", at positions 354 to 796 of the family's 1533-position model. The record is from RNAcentral.
GUAGGGAAUCUUGCGCAAUGGGCGAAAGCCUGACGCAGCCAUGCCGCGUGAAUGAUGAAGGUCUUAGGAUUGUAAAAUUCUUUCACCGGGGACGAUAAUGACGGUACCCGGAGAAGAAGCUCCGGCUAACUUCGUGCCAGCAGCCGCGGUAAUACGAAGGGGGCUAGCGUUGCUCGGAAUUACUGGGCGUAAAGGGCGCGUAGGCGGACAGCUUAGUCAGAGGUGAAAGCCCAGGGCUCAACCCCGGAACUGCCUUUGAAACUCCUGGUCUUGAGGUCGAGAGAGGUGGGUGGAAUUCCGAGUGUAGAGGUGAAAUUCGUAGAUAUUCGGAAGAACACCAGUGGCGAAGGCGACUCACUGGCCCAAUACUGACGCUGAGGCGCGAAAGCGUGGGGAGCAAACAGGAUUAGAAACCCCUGUAGUCC